Non-coding RNA from Aspergillus candidus, 83 nucleotides. The record is from the annotation of a RefSeq genome assembly. NCBI's taxonomy places the organism in Eukaryota, Fungi, Ascomycota, Eurotiomycetes, Eurotiales, Aspergillaceae.
GCUCCUAUGGCUUAGUUGGUAAAGCGCAUCACUAGUAUGCUUCAGUUAUGAUGAGAUCCUCGGUUCGAAUCCGAGUGGGAGCA